AUCCUCCCACCGCUUUCUCCUUCCCCCUCUUUCCUCUCUGUGGCUCUGGCAAGGACCACUCCCAUUGCAUCCAACACCGGCCUCCAAUUGUGGGUCCUGCAACCCUGGUUCCAGUCUGGCAAGCAUUGUAGACCUGGCUGCUGAAGACUGACGGGGCCCAGGGUCCGCUGCCCCCACCGCCAUCACCACCUCGGAACCCAGGGUAACGCUGUCAGUCUUUGAGCCUACGAGGAAACCAUUCGGAAGCUCCAGAACCCAGGCCCUAAUCACAACGCCCCUAUCCAGCAGGAAGCAGCCAGAUGAUCAACGACGCCCUUUUUCCUUUUUAUACUAAAGUAAGAAAUAAGAAUGUUAGCCCAAACUGCACUAUUUUGCAGACCCCUACCAUUUUACAAACUGGUCAGAGUGGAAAAUUCCACCAGGGCCUGAGCUGUGAGAAACAUCCUGUCAGGCAGGUCCCAGGCCUAACCCCUGGCUGCACUAAAUUCCUUCAUUAUCAGCAGCCAAACACACCGCCCCCACCCCAUUUUCACAACAAUCCCAGACCUCUCCUGCCCGGGACUGUAACUGGUCCAGCCUGUAAGCGGGAAGGGGGCUCUGGCACUAGCUGGUACCCCCUCUCCGCAGGUCUUUCUCCCAAUAAAUCUGUGUUGCCAUUGAGCUGCUUCUGUUCCGUUCUUUUCUCCCUUUCAUUCUAACAGAUCAAACUACUUC
Molecule: long non-coding RNA, 714 nt
Filed under: Homo sapiens (human)
Lineage: Eukaryota; Metazoa; Chordata; Mammalia; Primates; Hominidae
Description: non-protein coding LINC01278:36
Source: RNAcentral